RNAcentral lists this small nucleolar RNA (72 nucleotides) under Carassius auratus (goldfish). Its description in RNAcentral is "Small nucleolar RNA SNORD24 (ENSCARG00000005727.1)". It matches the Rfam family "Small nucleolar RNA SNORD24". From Rfam's summary of the family: U24 is a member of the C/D class of snoRNA which contain the C (UGAUGA) and D (CUGA) box motifs. C/D box snoRNAs have been shown to act as methylation guides for a number of RNA targets. The record is from Rfam by way of RNAcentral. Lineage: Eukaryota; Metazoa; Chordata; Actinopteri; Cypriniformes; Cyprinidae.
UGCAGAUGAUGUAAUUAAUAUUUGCUAUCUUAACAGCAUUGCAGACAAUCUUCCACCAAGAUCGCUGAUGCA